RNAcentral lists this small RNA (596 nucleotides) under Pongo abelii (Sumatran orangutan). RNAcentral's name for it is "retained intron". Lineage: Eukaryota; Metazoa; Chordata; Mammalia; Primates; Hominidae. The record is from RNAcentral.
UCCUGAACAAGCAGAAGGGGGCGCCUUUGCUGUUUGUGGUCCGCCAGAAGGAGGCUGUGGUGUCCUUCCAGGUGCCCCUAAUCCUGCGAGGGAUGUGAGUAGGAUCUGGGCGUCAGGGAAGCGGGGUGGCCUAGGCCAGUCCUUGGCUGGAGCCUCAACCAGGAGCCCCCCCAUUUCUCCUCCCCUUUCCCUGGGCCAUGAGGCUGGUCAACAGCACAAGGGCUGAGUCCUGCCAGCCGGGAGCUUGUGUACCUCUCAGGGAGGUGGUGGAGACCAGACCAGGGGAGGUGGGGCCUCGCUCCUCUGGAGGGGCAGGCCGGCUGGGACAGUGCUCACAUCCUAUCUCCCUGCUUCGGGACAUAGGUUUCAGCGCAAGUACCUCUACCAAAAAGUGGAACGAACCCUGUGUCAGCCCCCCACCAAGAAUGAGUCGGAGAUUCAGUUCUUCUAUGUGGAUGUGUCCACCCUGUCGCCAGUCAACACCACAUACCAGCUCCGGGUCAGCCGCAUGGACGAUUUUGUGCUCAGGACUGGGGAGCAGUUCAGCUUCAAUACCACAGCAGCACAGCCCCAGUACUUCAAGUAUGAGUUCCCUG